GAUGAACGCUGGCGGCGUGCCUAAUACAUGCAAGUCGAGCGAACGGACGAGAAGCUUGCUUCUCUGAUGUUAGCGGCGGACGGGUGAGUAACACGUGGAUAACCUACCUAUAAGACUGGGAUAACUUCGGGAAACCGUAGCUAAUACCGGAUAAUAUUUUGAACCGCAUGGUUCAAAAGUGAAAGACGGUCUUGCUGUCACUUAUAGAUGGAUCCGCGCUGCAUUAGCUAGUUGGUAAGGUAACGGCUUACCAAGGCAACGAUGCAUAGCCGACCUGAGAGGGUGAUCGGCCACACUGGAACUGAGACACGGUCCAGACUCCUACGGGAGGCAGCAGUAGUGAAUCUUCCGCAAUGGGCGAAAGCCUGACGGAGCAACGCCGCGUUAGUUAUGAAGGUCUUCGGAUCGUAAAACUCUGUUAUUAGGGAAGAACAUAUGUGUAAGUAACUGUGCACAUCUUGACGGUACCUAAUCAGAAAGCCACGGCUAACUACGUG
RNAcentral lists this ribosomal RNA (497 nucleotides) under uncultured bacterium. Its description in RNAcentral is "partial 16S ribosomal RNA". It matches the Rfam family "Bacterial small subunit ribosomal RNA", at positions 28 to 507 of the family's 1533-position model. The record is from RNAcentral.